RNAcentral lists this small RNA (1370 nucleotides) under Spiroplasma sp. NM1208-6. RNAcentral describes it as "bacterial LSU rRNA". The stretch from base 579 to 1370 matches the Rfam family "Bacterial large subunit ribosomal RNA", at positions 1 to 798 of the family's 2925-position model. Lineage: Bacteria; Bacillati; Mycoplasmatota; Mollicutes; Entomoplasmatales; Spiroplasmataceae. The record is from RNAcentral.
CAAGAGUCGCAAUCUCGCGAGAGGGAGCUAAUCUCAAAAAGUCAGUCUCAGUUCGGAUUGAAGUCUGCAACUCGACUUCAUGAAGCCGGAAUCACUAGUAAUCGCGAAUCAGCAACGUCGCGGUGAAUACGUUCUCGGGUCUUGUACACACCGCCCGUCACACCAUGAGAGUUGGUAAUACCAGAAGCACGUAUCUUAACCGUAAGGAGAGAGCGUACCAAGGUAGGAUUAGCGAUUAGGGUGAAGUCGUAACAAGGUAUCCGUACGGGAACGUGCGGAUGGAUCACCUCCUUUCUAUGGAGUUAAUCAUAGUUAAAGAAUAAAAGCUGAGCGAAUCGAUAAAACAGCUUUUGAUUAUAUACUGGUUCUAUCUAGUUUUCAGAGAUUGUGAGCGCUUUAAAAAGCGUUUUUGAUUUCUGAGAAUCGUUCUUUGAAAACUGAAUAUUAGAUGAAAAAAGACAUUUUAAUUUUUCUUACGUUUCAUAAAUAACGUAAAACAGUAACUUAAAAAUUACUAAGAAAAACUGAAAUUUCAUAUUUAUUAGAUUAUCUAUAAUGCAAAAUAGGAUUUCUUUUUAAGAAAGUAUAGUAAGGGCAUAUGGUGAAUGCCUUGGAAAAUGGAGCCGAUGAAGGACGUGACUACCUGCGAAAAGUUUCGGGGAGCUGGAAGUAAGCUAUGAUCCGGAAAUGUCCGAAUGGGGAAACCUGCUAUGAUUAAUCUCAUAGCGUUUAUGACUGAAUACAUAGGUUAUAUAACGGGAACCUAGGGAACUGAAACAUCUUAGUACCUAGAGGAAUAGAAAACGAAUGUGAUUCUGUAAGUAGCGGCGAGCGAAAGCGGAACAGGCCAAACCGGUCUACGGGCCGGGGUUGUAGGACUCUUGUUAGAGUUACAAAAUCAGUGUAUAGCAGAAUGUGCUGGGAAGCACAAGCGUAGAGGGUGAUACUCCCGUAUGCGAAAUGCACUGAUCUCGAUAGAGUAUCCUGAGUACGGCGGGGCACGUGAAACCUUGUCGGAAUCUACCCAGACCACUGGGUAAGCCUAAAUACUACCAUUUUACCGAUAGUGAACCAGUACCGUGAGGGAAAGGUGAAAAGUACCCCGUGAGGGGAGUGAAAUAGUCCCUGAAACCAUAUGCUUACAAGAAGUUAGAGCCCGUUAAUGGGUGAUAACGUGCUUUUUGUAGAAAGAGCCGGCGAGUUACGAUAACAUGCGAGGUUAAGUAGAAUAUACGGAGCCGUAGUGAAAGCGAGCCUUAAUAGGGCGUUUAGUAUGUUGUCGUAGACACGAAACCAGGUGAUCUAGCCAUGAGCAGGUUGAAGUUAGGGUAAAACCUAAUGGAGGACCGAACCAACGUUCGUGAAAAGAC